This 443-nucleotide ribosomal RNA is filed under the name uncultured bacterium. Its description in RNAcentral is "bacterial SSU rRNA". It matches the Rfam family "Bacterial small subunit ribosomal RNA", at positions 339 to 796 of the family's 1533-position model. The record is from RNAcentral.
CUACGGGAGGCAGCAGUAGGGAAUUUUCCGCAAUGGGCGAAAGCCUGACGGAGCAAUACCGCGUGAGGGAUGAAUGCCUAUGGGUUGUAAACCUCUUUUUUCAGGGAGGAAUAAAUGACGUGUACCUGAAGAAUAAGCAUCGGCUAACUCCGUGCCAGCAGCCGCGGUAAGACGGAGGAUGCAAGUGUUAUCCGGAAUCACUGGGCGUAAAGCGUCUGUAGGUGGCUUAAUAAGUCAACUGUUAAAUCUUGAAGCUCAACUUCAAAAUCGCAGUCGAAACUAUUAGACUAGAGUAUAGUAGAGGUAAAGGGAAUUUCCAGUGGAGCGGUGAAAUGCGUAGAGAUUGGAAAGAACACCGAUGGCGAAGGCACUUUACUGGGCUAUUACUGACACUCAGAGACGAAAGCUAGGGUAGCAAAUGGGAUUAGAUACCCGGGUAGUCC